This 225-nucleotide ribosomal RNA is filed under the name uncultured fungus. RNAcentral's name for it is "partial small subunit ribosomal RNA". The stretch from base 104 to 225 matches the Rfam family "Eukaryotic small subunit ribosomal RNA", at positions 741 to 864 of the family's 1831-position model. The record is from RNAcentral. Lineage: Eukaryota; Fungi.
GACUGACCAUCCUGGCCCGCUUCCUUCGGGGAGUGAGUGCUGGUAUGAGUCUGUCAUCCUUCUAGUGCGCCAUGCCUGCUGUUCACUCAGCUGGGCGUGUGCGAGCUAGAUCUUUUACUUUGAAAAAAUUAGAGUGUUUAAAGCAGGCUUACGCUGUGAAUACAUUAGCAUGGAAUAAUAAUAUAGGACUUUGGUCUUAUUUUGUUGGUUCUGAGGACUGAAGUA